UGAAACAUAUUUUAGAAAUGUCAAAUUAAUAUUCAGUAGCAUUUGUUUCCUGCAAUUGUUUUUUGUCAUUGCAUACGUAAGCAUGAUGAUUUUUCCUGCACUUAUCGUAAUUUUCAUAAUUGAUAGAGUAAAGCUUCACAAAUUUUCAAAUCACCAGCAAGGCGUUGUGUCGUCGCAAUCAGCGGAACCUGUACUGAUAAAGAAGGAUUUGAAUCCAAAAUGUUCUGGGGCUUGGUGGUUCAACAAGUGCGCAACUUUUGACCUGAAUGGCAAUUAUUUCAUUGGGAAACCAGACAAAGAACACCGCGGUGUCUACUGGCGUUCUUGGAAAGGAAGCAACUACUCCCUUAAAAACUCUGUGAUGAUGCUGAGAAGAUUAUAAUAAACUGUAUUAUAUAAAAUCACAUAGUAAUCUUAAACUACUCCUUUUAUUAUUUCGUGUUUAAAAGAAAACUGUUCGAUUUCUAAGAAGCUACAGUGAUGUUUAACACCAUUUUCAUUUUAGGAAAAGAUAAUUAUCAAGCAUCAGACAAUUGCAUGAAAAAUAUUCUUGUAAAGUGAAUAAAACUGAAAAUUUG
Long non-coding RNA from Mytilus californianus (California mussel), 578 nucleotides. RefSeq lists it as uncharacterized. The transcript has 3 exons. The record is from RefSeq and is a predicted model, not a curated record. NCBI's taxonomy places the organism in Eukaryota, Metazoa, Mollusca, Bivalvia, Mytilida, Mytilidae.